UAGAUUGUGCUUUUUUAUUCA
This 21-nucleotide non-coding RNA is filed under the name Caenorhabditis elegans. The record is from RNAcentral. Lineage: Eukaryota; Metazoa; Nematoda; Chromadorea; Rhabditida; Rhabditidae.